GGGAGCUUGCUCCCUGGUGGCGAGCGGCGGACGGGUGAGUAAUGCAUAGGAAUCUGCCCGGUAGUGGGGGAUAACCUGGGGAAACCCAGGCUAAUACCGCAUACGUCCUACGGGAGAAAGCAGGGGCUCUUCGGACCUUGCGCUAUCGGAUGAGCCUAUGUCGGAUUAGCUGGUUGGUGAGGUAAUGGCUCACCAAGGCGACGAUCCGUAGCUGGUCUGAGAGGAUGAUCAGCCACAUCGGGACUGAGACACGGCCCGAACUCCUACGGGAGGCAGCAGUGGGGAAUAUUGGACAAUGGGGGCAACCCUGAUCCAGCCAUGCCGCGUGUGUGAAGAAGGCCCUCGGGUUGUAAAGCACUUUCAGUGGGGAAGAACGCCUGACGGUUAAUACCCGUCAGGGAAGACAUCACCCACAGAAGAAGCACCGGCUAACUCCGUGCCAGCAGCCGCGGUAAUACGGAGGGUGCGAGCGUUAAUCGGAAUUACUGGGCGUAAAGCGCGCGUAGGCGGCUUGAUAAGCCGGUUGUGAAAGCCCCGGGCUCAACCUGGGAACGGCAUCCGGAACUGUCAGGCUAGAGUGCAGGAGAGGAAGGUAGAAUUCCCGGUGUAGCGGUGAAAUGCGUAGAGAUCGGGAGGAAUACCAGUGGCGAAGGCGGCCUUCUGGACUGACACUGACGCUGAGGUGCGAAAGCGUGGGUAGCAAACAGGAUUAGAUACCCUGGUAGUCCACGCCGUAAACGAUGUCGACUAGCCGUUGGGUCCUUCGCGGACUUAGUGGCGCAGUUAACGCGAUAAGUCGACCGCCUGGGGAGUACGGCCGCAAGGUUAAAACUCAAAUGAAUUGACGGGG
Molecule: ribosomal RNA, 850 nt
Filed under: Halomonas sp.
Lineage: Bacteria; Pseudomonadati; Pseudomonadota; Gammaproteobacteria; Oceanospirillales; Halomonadaceae
Description: bacterial SSU rRNA
Rfam family: Bacterial small subunit ribosomal RNA
Source: RNAcentral